UGAGAAGCAAAUACAUAUCAAAGCUCACUUUCCUCAUGGGUAGAAAGCUAUUUGACUAACAGAUUUCAGCGGUGCCUUGGUGACAAGAAAAGAAAAAACCCUCCAAGGAUUCUGGAGGAAGUUGAAAGGCAGGAGGUCAGGCUUCCACCUGCAGGUAGAAUGAGUGUUUGCCAUUUCCUCAAAUUCCUUGAGACCACCCACUGGCAUGAAGGAUGGUGAGCAAAGCCUGGGGAAUGAAGACUAUCUUUCAAAAGGUGCUUCCUGGGAGAUUUAAGGGAGAAAAAGAAAAUAAUUUGUUGGUUUGUAUGUCAGCUAGCAAGGCUUUUGAUCAUUCAGUUGGGACAGUUCUGCCUGGAAGGGAUCAAUCUCUUUUUAUUCCAAAGACUAACACCAACAGAUACAAAUCAAAGGAGGUAUUCUUUCAACAAAGGAAAUUGCAGAAAGGAUGCCUAGGCUUAAUUAAAAUAUAACCUUUUGUUUUAAGGACUUUUCUUUCCCUUGCAAAAGGGAAUGCACUCUCUGAAGAAGCAUAUGCCAGCACUGGUGAGAUACAGUUCUUCAACAAGUAAGGAUCUGUCUACAUUCGGGGCACGUCUUGGGGAAGCCUUGAAGGGAAUCGUGCCUGGAGUCCCAUCUGACUUAACUCAUCAUCACAGUCCUUCAUCACAACAUAAUGAGUGUUAUUACUUCCUCAUGUGGCCUGUGGGCUUUGUUAAUUAAAGAAUGGAAAGUUCAAAGAUGGAAAUCGUCAGAGGCUUCCAAGAUGGCUGAAUAGGAACAGCUCCAGUCCGCAGCUCCCAGCAAGAUUGAUGCAGAAGGCGGAUGAUUUCUGCAUUUCCAACUAAGUGCCAUGACUUAAGGAGUGAAGAGAGGGCAUAGAGAACAAGCAGAGUAUGCAGGGCAUAUGCUGAGAUAAGAAACUGGAUCUGAAACAAGUUGAAUACUUGCAGAGAAUCAUGGGAACCAUUAUAACAAAGAAGUCAAGAGUGUUGGUGUGGAGUGGACCUUGGUUUGAAUACUCAGCUCUGCCACUUACUAGCUGUAGGCUCAUAUGCAAGUUACUAUCCUCAUCUGUUAAAAAGGAAUAAUAUCUAAUGUUAUAUAAAAUGUAAAAGUUAUUUCACACAAUGCCAUUCACAUAGUAAAUGUUCAAUAAAAGCAAAAACCUCAGGACAUAUAUAAGUGGCAAUGUGAAAUUAAUACAGCAGAAGCUCAGUUCACACAGAUGUUAAUCCUUAAACAAGCCUUGCAUUGUAUGAGUAUCCCACAAAAGGAGUAAGGGAAGAAGAUCUUACAUCACUGGAGUGAGUGACUACCAUGGACCAGCCACCGUUACUCACUUUACUUCAUUUAACCCGCACAAUAGCCUCAUGAGGUAGAUAUCAUCACCAUUUUGCAGAUGAGAAAGCUGAAGCUAAGCAAAGUUGACCUGACCAAAAUCACAUAGCAAUUAAGAUAGGAGUCCAGCUUCGUCUCAUUCCAAUAUGAGUGCGUUUUCCUCUUUUCCAUUGGCUCUCAAAGUUUGGUCUUAAAGGAGCUGUAUCAGCAUCACCUGGGAACUUAUUAGAACUGCACCUUCUCAGCCCUACCCCAAACCCACUGGGUCAGAAACUCUGGGGUUGGGGCCUAGCCAUCUGUGUUUCACACUCAGACUGACACACGAUCAUUUCUGAUAACCACUGCUCUAUGACAUGCGUUUCCUCUUCAGUUAGGAUCCGACUCCUUAUUUUGUAUUUAACAAGGAGUAUGAAACAAAGCCCGGGCUCUGAAUUUGUAUUCCUCAGCAAUAAUGUGUCAAGUAAUCUUAAACAAGCAAACCCCUGGCCCAUUCCAGCCCAUAGUGCAUGUGCGGAAGAAAAGUAGAAAUUAAUAUUGGGGCCAUUUUGCAUAUUCCUAAACCCGUAAGCUAGUCUCUUUGGAGAACGUUAAAGCUUUGCUAUUGUCACAACUAGUGGUGUCACUUCCCACCAUUCCUGUUAGUCUUGGGCAACAUGAUAUAUUUAUUAAGCUCCUACUAUGUGCCACUGGGAGAAGAGUGAAGAACAAAAUCAGCAAAGCCUCCCCUCAGGGAGCAUAUGAUCCGAUCUUUCCCAGCAGUGGACUCUUGUUGGUCAUUCCUAGAAUCCCAAGACCCUUCUCUUUUAUCGUUCCCCCCACCAAACCUAUCUACAUUUAGAAUGGGAAUAACUAUAACUUCUAGGCAAGUAACUGUAACUCCUAACUGAGAUCAUUUACUCAAACUCCCCUGGAUCACACAUAGCCUGUCCACCCAAUGUAGUAUAGCUGACUCCUCUGGUCUGAAUGUGCCCCCUCAAAAUUCACAUAUUGAAACCCUGACCCCCAAGUCGACAGUAAUUAGGAGGUGAGGAUUUGGGGAGGUGACUGUGACUCAUGCCCUUAUAAAAGACGCCCCAGAGAGACCCCUCACCCCUUCCACCGUGUGAGCACACAGCAAAAACUACCUUGUAUGAACCAGAAAGUAAGUCCUCACUAGACAAUGAAUCUGCCAGCACCUUGAUCUUCCACUCCCCAGCCUCCAGAACUGUGGGAAACAAGUUUAUAAACCACCCAGUUUAUGAUACGUUGUUAUAGCAGCCUGAACAGACUAAGACACUGACCAAAUGAUAAGGAUCAGAGAAAAGCCAAUCAAGCUUGGAGAAACCAUUUUCCAAGCACCCACUGUACCAGCAGCCCAAGAAUCAUUCAGAAUUGUCCUGGCCAUUACGCUGUGUGCCCAUGGAUCUCAGCAUGAGUCUGAAGAAUCAGCUCUGCCAAGCCAGGACCCAGACCCUCCAGCAUUUUAGUCCAAUGUUCUCUGCACUCCCCGGGUGAUGGUGUGAUGCUGGAGUUACCACAAGUCAUCAGCCUCACUAGCCAAAGGGCAAAUACCCUGAAUUUGCUCUUUAUUGACUAUAUGAGAACCACAUUGCUUCACACUGAAAACAAGUACUAUUUGAAGUAUAAAAGGACUCCUAAUCUAUAUUCCACCUGCCGCUAGCUCUGUCUUUGAAAGCCAUUGCCUUCACUGAAUGAUUCCAGCUGGUGCUCUCCUCUGUGCUGGCUUUUAUGGGCUAUAAGGAUGGAUACACAAGGUGUAGGUCAGUUUUUUAGGGAAUGUAGAAGCCUUGCCCUCUCAACUCAACACAUGCUUCUCUUUUCUUCUUCCCUCUAUCCUGGAAUUAAUGGGGAUAAAUGUUGCUAAAGCAUCUAGUUAAAUGUUCUUAGAUAAUUCUGGUCUGUACACUGAUUGACCAGAAAACAGAAAUGACUUCAUCUGAAAGAAAACUAAUAUAUGUGGGAAAGAGGAGUGAUCGGCUGUAAUAUUUAUGUUUUCCUGUCUCUUGUGUGAAUUCACAGGCAACUUCCAGAAUAAAAUCCUC
RNAcentral lists this long non-coding RNA (3380 nucleotides) under Homo sapiens (human). Its description in RNAcentral is "HSALNT0190572". Lineage: Eukaryota; Metazoa; Chordata; Mammalia; Primates; Hominidae. The record is from RNAcentral.